This 468-nucleotide ribosomal RNA is filed under the name uncultured bacterium. Its description in RNAcentral is "partial 16S ribosomal RNA". It matches the Rfam family "Bacterial small subunit ribosomal RNA", at positions 28 to 507 of the family's 1533-position model. The record is from RNAcentral.
GACGAACGCUGGCGGCGUGCUUAACACAUGCAAGUCGAACGGAAAGGCCCUGCUUUUGGGGGGUGCUCGAGUGGCGAACGGGUGAGUAACACGUGAGUAACCUGCCCUUGACUUUGGGAUAACUUCAGGAAACUGGGGCUAAUACCGGAUAGGAGCUCCUGCUGCAUGGUGGGGGUUGGAAAGUUUCGGCGGUUGGGGAUGGACUCGCGGCUCAUCAGCUUGUUGGUGGGGUAGUGGCUUACCAAGGCUUUGACGCGUGGCCGGCCUGAGAGGGUGACCGGCCACGUUGGGUCUGAGCUGAGGCCCAGCCUCCUCCGGGAGGCAGCAGUGCGGAAUAUUGCACAAUGGGCGGGAGCCUGAUCCAGCACCGCCGCGUGCGGGAUAACGGCCUUCGGGUUGUAAACCGCUUUCGCCUGUGACGAAGCGUGAGUGACGGUAAUGGGUAAAGAAGCACCGGCUAACUACGUG